RNAcentral lists this long non-coding RNA (4281 nucleotides) under Heterocephalus glaber (naked mole-rat). Its description in RNAcentral is "lncRNA (ENSHGLG00000043725.1)". The record is from RNAcentral. Lineage: Eukaryota; Metazoa; Chordata; Mammalia; Rodentia; Bathyergidae.
AGAAGUGCCACAUUGACUGGCACCCUCCUCCCAUACUGUGCCUCACAGCUGGCAGGAGCUGUUUCCAAGUCUCGCUGUGGUGAAGGUCAUUAAGGGACCUUCUAAGAGAUUUUCCAUGCUGAGAAAGACAUCACAAGAGACAAGGGGCAAGGCUUAUUUGUUAAAAGAAGGUUGACUAAGGAAACCUGGCGGAAAGAUAAUAGUUUGACAGAAGUAGCAAGAAGGGAGGGGGAGGGCUGGGGAUUUAGCUCAGGGGUUCCAGCUGCCUGCCCGGUAAGUGAGGACCCGCGUUGAGUUCGAUCCCUGGUACCAAAAAAAAAAAAAAAAGAAGAGAGGGAGAAUAAGUGAUGGGGAGUGCUGGAGUUACCUGCAAAAGAAGAGCAAGGCUUGAGAAUGGAUGUCUGGAGACCAACGAUUCUGUUUCUGUAAAGGCUCUGGCUCAUGCUUGUGAAUUCCAGUUUAUCCUCACUCUACUUUGCAACUGCCUGCCCUUGGACUUCAAGCACCAGCAUUAGAUGUGAAGACAACAGCCUUCUAGAAACUGCUUAACCAGCUGUCUUUGUUUUGUAUGGUGAUGCAGGACUGUAAAAAUGACUGUGAUCUUGCUAAAUUGCCCAGGCUGGCCUUGAAUUUGGGAUCCUGCUGCUUCAGUUUCCAGAGUAACUGGGAUUCAGGGAUUGAACUCGGGACCUUGCGCUUGCAAGGCAGGCACCGGAACCACUGAGCUAAAUCCUUGGCCCCAGACAACAAUUCUGACAGUGGAGCUGCCAAGUGAUUGAAGAGGGGAAAGCAAGUUGCUCCAGAACCUGGGAAGAAGCAAAAGGCUGGUGGGACUUUGAGAGCUCCGUUGUCUCCUGGGCACAGCAGGAGCAGCAGCAGUGAAAACAACAUGUUCCUGAGUGGGGAAGCAAGGUACUUCAUGCACAGGGUUUGUAAGGAAGGAGAUAACUGUCGUUACUCGCAGGACACCUCUCGGACAAUCCCUACGGUAUACUAUGCAAUUAUUUCCAGCAAGAGUACUGCGUGUAUGGAGAUGGCUACACAUAUGAGCACCGCAAGCCAUUGAAACAGGAAGAAGCAGUAGCUAUAGAUCUAACUGCAAAAGCACCCCUUGCCGCUGCCUCGAGUUCCUCCUCCGUCGCUGAAGCUCUCAGGGAGAUGAAUACAGGCGAGGCUGAGUCCAGAAAUGCAAAUUCCCCGCCCUAGGUACAGUACAGGGUCAGAGGACUGGGUGAAUGCCAUUGAGUUCUGCCCAGCCAGCCCUACUGUGACCACGCCGCCCCUGCCUGCACAAAGGUCCUGGUGCAGGGAUCAGUGCCCAAGGCAGAGUCUGAGGAGCUGGCUACGUGGAGACCGAGAAGCAGCUCUGCCCCUAAGCGCUGUGGGAGAACUGCGUGUGGUGACACCUGGGACAUGUGCGGGCUGCAGGUCCAGCUCCUGGUGGAUACAGUCCAGAGGUCCCAGCAAAUAAAAUCUUGCAUCGAGGCCCAUGAGAAGGACAUGGAGCUGUCCUUUUCGGUGCAGUGCAGCAAGGACAUGGUGUGUGGCAUCUGCAUGGGGUACGAGAAAGCCAACCCCAGUGAGCGCCGCUUCGGCAUCCUCUCCAGCUGAGACCAUACCUGGUGUCUCAAGUGUAUUCGAAAGUGGAGGAGUGCUAAGCAUUUUGAGAACAAGAUCAUAAAGUUCUGGGCUGAAUGCCAGAUCACAUCUACAUUUGUCAUUCCAAGUGAGUGCUGGGUGGAGGAGAAAGAGAAGCAGAAACUCAUUCAGAAAUACAAGGAGGCAAUGAGCAAAGGCAUGCAGGUAUUUUGAUGAAGGCCAUGGGAGCUGCCCAUUUGGAGGAAACUGUUACUAAAUUUUUUUUUUUGGUAUAGGGGAUUGAACUUGGGACCUUGCACUUGCAAAGCAGGUGCCGGAACCACUGAGCUAAUUCCCCAGCCCUUGGAGGAAACUGUUUUUACAAGCAUGGGAACCCUGAUGACUUAAAGAGGAGCCACAGAGACAGAAAGUGGGAACAUCAAGCAGAUACUGGGUCCAACAGAGGAACCACUUCUGGGAGCUCACUGAGGAAAGAGAGAACAGAAGCCCCUUUGACAAUGAUGAAGAAGAGGCUGUCACCUUUGAGCUGGAUAAGAUGUUGCUUAUGCUUUUGGCUGCAAGUGGGGGCAAUGAACUGACUGACACUGACAACGAGUGGGACUUGUUUCACGAUAAGUUGGAAGACUUUUGUGACUUGGACCUCUACCGGCUUUGCAUGGCCUGGGAUCGGCCUACCGAGCCUCAAACAGUAGAUGUCCCCUGUGCCGUAUGGCAGUGAGUUGCUCUCCUACUCAGGCCUCAACUCCAGGUGCUGUCGUGACCACUUACCGGGUCCUACCCCACCCCACUUCCCCAAGACUGUGUCAUUUUCUUGGUUGCAAAAAGUUACAAAAACAAAUCUUCAAGUUAGAAAAAAAAAAGAACCAGUAUAGCUGAACAUGGUGGCACACACUUGUAGCAAGAUCCUGUCACAAAGUAAAAUGGGCUGGGGAAGUAGGUCAGUGAUAGAAAGUCUCCUGGGUCCCAUCCCCAGAAAUGGGGGGAAAACAUCAGAGUGGUACAUUGGCUUCUACUGAAGACAUUGAAUAUUAGAUCACUAUGAAGUUUUGAAUUUAAAACUUAUGGGGGAACAUGAUGUUUAUAUUUAUCCUAAAUAACUAUGUAAAGGUAGUAUAGAGACAUGCAAGUGCUCUGAUGUUUUACUUCCCCAGCACUCAGUCCUAGGACACUCCUGGAGGAUACAUUUUAGCAAAAUGAGGAUGCGUGAUAUGAAAGGAAAAGCUCUGCACCAUGGAAACUGGAGAAACCCAGAGGAGCAAUGAGGACAGGCCCAGCAAGACCCAUGGCAUAGGGUUGUACAAGAAAGAAAACAGAGUAAUGGAAGUCACCAUAAUACCUAAAAUUGAUGAACUAUGACAUAGUAGCAUGUGCAUACUAUUUAGAAAAGUGGAAGAAAACAAGAAAAAAACAUUUCAGAGAGUUGAAAUUGGUUGGUCCUGGAGGAUGGGUAAAGGACAGUUGUGUUUUGUCAUGAAUCUGUGGCCUUUUUGUUUUUAUCUAUGUACAUUACUUGAUAAAAAUGGGAACACUUAUGUACUGCUGAUCCAAAUGUAAGAUGGUGCAGCCAUUAACCUUAGAAAGUUAAACACAGUUACACUAUGUCAGGGUUUGGAGGUGCUAUGUUGCUAUGUCCUCCAGGGCUCAGGGGCUUGGUCUCUACUGCAGCAAUAUUCAGAGAGGGUACUUUUUGGAACCAGAUGGAUCAUGAGGACUCUAACUUCAUCAAUGGAUAAAUCCAUUAAUGAAUUCAUAGCUCAAUGAGCUUAUUAGGAAGUGGAGUCUAGUUGGAAGAAGCAAGUCACUGGGGGUAUGGCUUUGAAGGGUGUAUUUUGUUCCCAGCCCCUUCCUCUCCAGCUCACUCUGCUUACUGACUGCCUUGAUGUGAGCAGCUUUAUUCUGCCAUGCCCUUGUGCCAUUCCUUGUGCUACGGAAUACAGAAUACAGCAAUGGAAGCAGAUACCAUAGACUGACACUUCCGAAACUGUGAGUCAAAAUUAACAUUCUUCCUUUAAGCUGAUUUUCUCAGGUAUUAUAUAACAGUGACAAGAAAGUUAAUACAGCAUACAACCCUGCAAUUUCAUUCCUAGCUAUAUAGCCAAGACAGGUGUUUGCAGGAAUAGUUCUGUAGCAUUCAUAAUAACCAAAAAUGCAAACAAUACAAAUGUUCAUCAGUUGAUGAACAGAGAAAUAAAAUGUGGUAUGUACAUCCAUACAAUGGAAGACUAUUCUGUAAAAAGGAAGGAAAUACUGAUACAUAUUACAACAUGGUGAAACACAAAAGGCCGCAUAUUAUAUAAUUCCAUUAAUGUCAAGUGUUCAGAAUAGGCAACUCUAUAUACACAAAGUUAAUUGAGUAGAUUAGAGAUGUAGCUCAGUGACAGAGUGUGUGCUUAGAAUGGACAAGGGCCUGGAUCUGAGCACUGCUAAAAAGAGUUUAUUGGUUAGCUAAGGGUAGGGGGAGGAAGAGAUGAGGAGUAACUGCUAAGGAGUAUGGGAGUUCUUUUUUGGGGUAAUGAAAGUGUUCUUAGGGCCAGGGAUUUAGCUCAGUGUUUCCAUCACCUGCCUUGUAAGCACAAGGUUCCGAGUUUGAUCCCCAGUACCCCCAAAAAAGUGUUCAUGUGAUGUUUGCACAACAUUGUGAAUAUAUUUUAAAACUACUAAACUGCACACUUUAAAAAAGGC